AGCGAACGCUGGCGGCAGGCCUAACACAUGCAAGUCGAACGAACCUUUCGGGGUUAGUGGCGGACGGGUGAGUAACACGUGGGAACGUGCCUUUAGGUUCGGAAUACCUCAGUGAAACUUGUGCUAAUACCGAAUGUGCCCUUCGGGGGAAAGAUUAAUCGCCUUUAGAGCGGCCCGCGUCUGAUUAGCUAGUUGGUUGAGGUAAUGGCUCACCAAGGCGACGAUCAGUAGCUGGUCUGAGAGGAUGAUCAGCCACAUUGGGACUGAGACACGGCCCAAACUCCUACGGGAAGCAGCAGUGGGGAAUCUUGCGCAAUGGGCGAAAGCCUGACGCAGCCAUGCCGCGUGAAUGAUGAAGGUCUUAGGAUUGUAAAAUUCUUUCACCGGGGACGAUAAUGACGGUACCCGGAGAAGAAGCCCCGGCUAACUUCGUG
Molecule: ribosomal RNA, 434 nt
Filed under: uncultured bacterium
Lineage: Bacteria
Description: partial 16S ribosomal RNA
Rfam family: Bacterial small subunit ribosomal RNA
Source: RNAcentral